Molecule: unclassified non-coding RNA, 241 nt
Filed under: uncultured fungus
Lineage: Eukaryota; Fungi
Description: sequence contains ITS2
Rfam family: 5.8S ribosomal RNA (bases 1-52)
Source: RNAcentral
AACGCACAUUGCGCCCCUUGGUAUUCCGAGGGGCAUGCCUGUUCGAGCGUCAUUACAACCCUCAAGCACUGCUUGGUGUUGGGCCCCGCUGGCAGCGGCGGGCCUUAAAAUCAGUGGCGGUGCCGUCGGGCCCUGAGCGUAGUACACCUCCUCGCUACAGGGACCCGGUGGGCGCUGGCCAUCAACCCCCCCACUCUCUAAGUUUGACCUCGGAUCAGGUAGGGAUACCCGCUGAACUUAA